RNAcentral lists this ribosomal RNA (520 nucleotides) under uncultured Glomus. RNAcentral describes it as "SSU rRNA". It matches the Rfam family "Eukaryotic small subunit ribosomal RNA", at positions 569 to 1091 of the family's 1831-position model. Lineage: Eukaryota; Fungi; Glomeromycota; Glomeromycetes; Glomerales; Glomeraceae. The record is from RNAcentral.
AGCAGCCGCGGUAAUUCCAGCUCCAAUAGCGUAUAUUAAAGUUGUUGCAGUUAAAAAGCUCGUAGUUGAAUUUCGGGGUUAGUAGGCUGGUCGUGCCACAGGUAUGCACUGGUCUUACUGACUUCUCCUUUCUGAAGAACUGUAAUGCCAUUAAUUUGGUGUUGCAGGGAAACAGGACUGUUACUUUGAAAAAAUUAGAGUGUUUAAAGCAGGCUAACGCUUGAAUACAUUAGCAUGGAAUAAUGAAAUAGGACGUUCGAUCCUAUUUUGUUGGUUUCUAGGAUUGACGUAAUGAUUAAUAGGGAUAGUUGGGGGCAUUAGUAUUCAAUUGUCAGAGGUGAAAUUCUUGGAUUUAUUGAAGACUAACUACUGCGAAAGCAUUUGCCAAGGAUGUUUUCAUUAAUCAAGAACGAAAGUUAGGGGAUCGAAGGCGAUCAGAUACCGUCGUAGUCUUAACCAUAAACUAUGCCGACUAGGGAUCGGAUGAUGUUAAUUUUUAAUGACUCAUUCGGCGCCUUAC